UUCCUCAAAUAAGUGGACUAUCUAUUUAAGUCAAUUUAUUUAAACCUAAAAAGAACGCCCAUCGUCCUCCAUAGCCCCACCGGCAUACACCCAGCCUCAACCAACCCCAAGACCUUCCCCAGGUCUCCAAUCGAAACCAUCGCUCCCGCCUGCCAGUAGAACCGCUAGAUCCGCCUCUCUGUCGUCUCCACUGCCGCCGCUCCAGUUGAGUAAUACUGCGUGGUAUGGAUGCUGAAGUCGACCAUUAUGCUGUUUUGGGCCUCCCUUCCGGUGAGGAAGGCGCCAGGCUUUCAGAGCAAGAGAUUAGCAAAGCCUAUCGAUCAAAAGCCAGGGAGCUGCAUCCGGACAAGAGACCAGAUGACCCUAAUGCACAUGCUGAUUUUUUAAAGCUUCAAACUUCAUAUGAAGUUCUCAGGGAUGAAAAGGCUAGAAAGUUAUUUGAUGAUCUACUUAGAGUGAAACGGGAGAAGCUUCAUCGCCAAGGACAACAAGAUUCCAAGCGCCGCAAGAUGAUGUCAGAUCUUGAAGAAAGAGAGAGAUCUGCCUUUGCUGUUGACCCCAACAUGAAAGCUCGAGAAGAGGAAGAGAGAAUAUCUCGGAAACUAAAGGAGGAGAUAGCUAGAAUUCGUGCAAUGCAAGCCAACAAAACACCAGCCGCUGCAACACCUUUCAAGCAAGAUACAAAAGAAAAGGGGAAAGAUAGUAUGGAUGGUGGAGGUGGUAAUGGAUUGGAUAAGGAGAAGGUUCUCAAGAUUUCAUGGGAGAAGAUUGGUGAAGACUACUCGGCGCAUAGACUUAGAGCAAUUUUUGAGAAGUUUGGUGCUGUAGAAGAUGUAGUCAUCAAGAGUUCCAAGAAGAAAGGAUCAGCUCUUGUAGUAAUGGCAUCUAAGGAUGCUGCUGUUGCUGCUACUGGGAAUGUAUUGGGCGAUCUUUCAAAUCCUCUCCUAGUGUUACCUCUUCAACCCGCUUCGUCACCGGUAAUUUUUAGUGCUGAGAAGAAUGACUCUGAUGGUCCAAAAUUGAGCAAGCUGGUUGGUGCUGGAUAUCAGGCAUUUGAAGAUUCAGUACUUGAAAAAUUGAAAAAGGCUGCUCAGAGGCAAAAGUGACUUGUUAAAGAAUCUUGGAGAGGUGUAAGGAGAGCAUUUUGUAGCAUCAAUAGAAGGGUAUAUGUAUGUAACAGUAUAAAGAGAUUCACACUUGCUUUCUUCGAAAAAUUUACAGUGUUGCAGCAUCAUGUUGAUCGAGCUCUUUCGGGGUAUGCUCCUCCAAUGCAAUUUCAGGUUAUCCUGUGUUCCUCCAAGUACACCCGGAAACAGACACCCAAUCUGUUGCUUGUGAUGCCAUACUCCACAAGUUGCUCGUUAUUGCAUACAUCAAGUGCACCAUGUGCAACCUGAGUUGGGGAGUGAAGGAACUCAUGCUCUCCACAGCUCUUCAUGAUCUGCAAGCUCUGCCACUGUCAUCGUUACAUUCAGUGAAAAAGACGCGCACUUAGAGCCAUUACUUUUUCUUAUAUCGCAAUUGUUCGUUUAAGUGAAGUAACGUAUUCUUCACUUGUAAGCUCACUCAUAGUCGCUGUUUCACUUGUACCACCUUUGUAAGUAGAAUAGCACUUUUCAUUAGUUAGCUUAGUUAGAGGUGAGUUAGAACUAACUAAACAUUGUUAACAGUAGUUAAUCCGUUUCACUUCUGCCGCUGAAUUUAAAAAGGAGCCUGCAUCACAGCUUUGGUGAUACAGGAAUUCAUUCUCCAACAAUGGCUUCUUUCACUUUGUUUCUUGUUUUUGAGUUGAGAUUUGUCAGAAAAACCAUCAACUGUGUACUGGAGUGUUUGUGCAGUGGAAUGGAGCAGAGAAAGAAGCUGAAGGAAAGUGGAAUAAUUGUGGGGAUUGGGUUAAGAUGAGAUUUGAUGGUGUGGAAAAGUAUUGUGCAUAAAAGAAUAGAAGAAUAUAGGAAGGUAUGAAGAUUCUCUGAGCAAAUAUCUUAUGUUGAUCAUGUCACAUGUACAGGAGAUUAGGGAUCAAAUAUUAUUGUUUCUGUUAGCUUAACCACUACGUAAAUUCAUCUGCAAAUCAAAAUUCGAGGAAGUAGUUUUUGAGCAGGGAUGUGGUGGGGGCAGGGGGGGCCCACUGUUUCAACACGUGUUCCAUGGACCCCACUUCCCCCACUCACCUAAAUCACUAGUACUACUCGCUCGCACUCUCCCUUCUCCUUCUUCCCCGCGCGCGCGCACACACAUUGUUUGGUAAUUGUAGUAAUAUAAUCCUCCUAAUAGGAAAACACAGUCUCUGAAUUGAAUUCAUCAUUCACCCCUUAAUACUUUUUAUCUUUCCGAUUGUAUUAUGGGAAACUACUUCAUUAAACCCCAUAAUUUCGGCUGUAAUCAUCCUGCCUUCCCAUUACCAAACCCCAUUAGCAACCACAAAAAGUGCGCCAACUCCAACCACCAUAUAGAGAUGAUUGGUUUGCAGAGUAAGAGCUACACCAGUCUCAAGGACUUGCUCCACGACUCUCCCCCUUGGACGGCCUCUCCCACCAGCAGCUGGCGCGAGAUUCCCAUCAAGGAUCCUUUGCUGCAGCACGCGGCGUGGGCCUACCUGCAGCCCAUCGGGGCGGAGCUGGAGGAACACCAUCGCUACCGGUGGAGUAGAUUGACGGAGAGUUGCUGCGGUUGCCUCAACGGCGUCGUCUUGAUGUUUCUCCGAGCAAGGGAGUGAAAGAUUACAGGUGGAUAAUGGUGAAGAAGUCGAUUGACAAAAGAGAAUAGCGGCUUUUUUUUGUUUAAGCUCUGUUCACAAAAGAAUAAUGUCUGUAGGCUGUACAGUACAUGCAUACACACACAGUAUUGGUAGGAUUGAAAUUUUGAGAAAGAUUUGAAGUUGUUUGUAUGAUAGAAACAAUACAGAUUUGUUGUUA
Sesamum indicum (sesame) is the source of this 2915-nucleotide non-coding RNA. NCBI's taxonomy places the organism in Eukaryota, Viridiplantae, Streptophyta, Magnoliopsida, Lamiales, Pedaliaceae. The record is from RefSeq and is a predicted model, not a curated record.